RNAcentral lists this transfer RNA (78 nucleotides) under Enhydrobacter aerosaccus SK60. Its description in RNAcentral is "tRNA-Phe". It matches the Rfam family "tRNA". Rfam says of the family: Transfer RNA (tRNA) molecules are approximately 80 nucleotides in length. Their secondary structure includes four short double-helical elements and three loops (D, anti-codon, and T loops). Further hydrogen bonds mediate the characteristic L-shaped molecular structure. tRNAs have two regions of fundamental functional importance: the anti-codon, which is responsible for specific mRNA codon recognition, and the 3' end, to which the tRNAs corresponding amino acid is attached (by aminoacyl-tRNA synthetases). tRNAs cope with the degeneracy of the genetic code in two manners: having more than one tRNA (with a specific anti-codon) for a particular amino acid; and 'wobble' base-pairing, i.e. permitting non-standard base-pairing at the 3rd anti-codon position. The record is from RNAcentral. Lineage: Bacteria; Pseudomonadati; Pseudomonadota; Alphaproteobacteria; Hyphomicrobiales.
UGGCGCGGUAGCUCAGUCGGUAGAGCAACGGAUUGAAAAUCCGUGUGUCGGCAGUUCGAUCCUGCCCCACGCCACCAU